GUGGCCCAGUGGUUAAGCAUUUGGCUGCUAACCAAAAGACUGGAGGUUCAAACCCACCC
RNAcentral lists this transfer RNA (59 nucleotides) under Loxodonta africana (African savanna elephant). It matches the Rfam family "tRNA", at positions 7 to 64 of the family's 71-position model. Rfam says of the family: Transfer RNA (tRNA) molecules are approximately 80 nucleotides in length. Their secondary structure includes four short double-helical elements and three loops (D, anti-codon, and T loops). The record is from Rfam by way of RNAcentral. Lineage: Eukaryota; Metazoa; Chordata; Mammalia; Proboscidea; Elephantidae.